This 381-nucleotide ribosomal RNA is filed under the name uncultured bacterium. Its description in RNAcentral is "bacterial SSU rRNA". It matches the Rfam family "Bacterial small subunit ribosomal RNA", at positions 367 to 762 of the family's 1533-position model. The record is from RNAcentral.
CGCAAUGGGCGAAAGCCUGACGUAGCGACACCGCGUGAGCGAAGAAGCCCUUUGGGGUGUAAAGCUCUGUCGGCUGGAACGAAAAAAAUGACGGUACCAGCAAAGGAAGCAUCGGCUAACUACGUGCCAGCAGCCGCGGUAAGACGUAGGAUGCAAGCGUUGUCCGGAUUCAUUGGGCGUAAAGAGUUCGUAGGCGGUUUGUUAAGUCUGAUGUUAAAGGCCGGGGCCCAACCCUGGAACUGCAUUGGAUACUGGCAGACUGGAGUGCAGUAGAGGCAAGUGGAAUUCCCAGUGUAGCGGUGAAAUGCGUAGAUAUUGGGAAGAACACCGGUGGCGCAGGCGACUUGCUGGGCUGUAACUGUCUCUGAGGAACGAAAGCUA